Molecule: ribosomal RNA, 1091 nt
Filed under: Cryobacterium sp.
Lineage: Bacteria; Bacillati; Actinomycetota; Actinomycetes; Micrococcales; Microbacteriaceae
Description: bacterial SSU rRNA
Rfam family: Bacterial small subunit ribosomal RNA
Source: RNAcentral
GGCGAGCGGGUGAGUAACACGUGAGCAAUCUGUUUGGACUCUGGGAGAACUGCGGGAAACUGUAGCUAAUACCGGAGGUUACCUUGGAAGGCAUCUUCUGGGGUGGAAAGAAUCUUGGUCAAGGAUGAGCUCGCGGCCUAUCAGCUAGUUGGUGAGGUAAUGGCUCACCAAGGCGACGACUGGUAGCCGGCCUGAGAGGGUGACCGGCCACACUGGGACUGAGACACGGCCCAGACUCCUACGGGAGGCAGCAGUCGGGAAUAUUGCACAAUGGGCGCAAGCCUGAUGCAGCAACGCCGCGUGAGGGACGACGGCCUUCGGGUGUUAAACCUCUUAUUAGUAGGGAAGAAGCGACUGGGUUUUCCUGGGAGUGACGGUACCUGCAGAAAAAGCACCGGCUAACUACGUGCCAGCAGCCGCGGUAAUACGUAGGGUGCAAGCGUUGUCCGGAAUUAUUGGGCGUAAAGAGCUCGUAGGCGGUUUGUCGCGUCUGCUGUGAAAACCCGAGGCUCAACCUCGGGCCUGCAGUGGGUACGGGCAGACUAGAGUGCGGUAGGGGAGAUUGGAAUUCCUGGUGUAGCGGUGGAAUGCGCAGAUAUCAGGAGGAACACCAAUGGCGAAGGCAGAUCUCUGGGCCGUAACUGACGCUGAGGAGCGAAAGCAUGGGGAGCAACAAGGAUUAGAUACCCUGGUAGUCCAUGCCGUAAACGUUGGGAACUAGAUGUGGGGACCAUUCCACGGUCUCCGUGUCGCAGCUAACGCAUUAAGUUCCCGCCCGGGGGAAUACGGCCGCAAGGCUAAACUCAAAGGAAUUGACGGGGGCCCGCACAAGCGGCGGAGCAUGCGGAUUAAUUCGAUGCAACGCGAAGAACCUUACCAGGCUGACAUAUACCGGUACGCCUGGAAACAGUGCCCGCAAGUCGUAUACAGGUGGGGCAGGGUUUCGUCACUCUGUCCGGAAAUUUUGGGUUAAUCCCGCACGAGGCAACCUCGUCUAGUGCGCACGUUAUGGUGGAACUCUGGGAUCUGCCGGUACUCGAGAAAGGGGGGGAGACUCAAUCUCAGCCCCUAUUCUGGCUCACCAGCUCAUG